This 305-nucleotide ribosomal RNA is filed under the name uncultured bacterium. Its description in RNAcentral is "bacterial SSU rRNA". It matches the Rfam family "Bacterial small subunit ribosomal RNA", at positions 333 to 636 of the family's 1533-position model. The record is from RNAcentral.
UCUCUCCUACGGGGCGCAGCAGUGAGGAAUAUUGGUCAAUGGCCGCAGGGCUGAACCAGCCACGUCGCGUGAGGGAUGGCGGUCCUAUGGAUUGUAAACCUCUUUUGUCAGGGAGCAAAGGGCGCCACGUGUGGCGUUUUGCGAGUACCUGAAGAAAAAGCAUCGGCUAACUCCGUGCCAGCAGCCGCGGUAAUACGGAGGAUGCGAGCGUUAUCCGGAUUUAUUGGGUUUAAAGGGUGCGCAGGCGGAAUGUCAAGUCAGCGGUAAAAUUUCGGGGCUCAACCCCGGCGUGCCGUUGCAACUGG